Molecule: long non-coding RNA, 1860 nt
Filed under: Homo sapiens (human)
Lineage: Eukaryota; Metazoa; Chordata; Mammalia; Primates; Hominidae
Description: HSALNT0373075
Source: RNAcentral
AGGCGGAGACACAAGGCUCCGUUCCACUGGGCACGCCAGCGGGUAGGGGUGGGGGCGGGGAGGUGCGCGCGCAGCGUGGGAGGAGGCCAACUCUCGGGGCGCUCCCUAGCCCUGGGUGGGUGGAGCGGGGGAAGCGGAGUACGUUGGACCCGGCUCCGCCCUACCCCACGGGGCCGCCUGGAGAGGUGCUGGGAGCUGGGUGGAGCUUAGAGGAAUUAAACUUUGGCCCUGCGCCUCGUCCAGCCUAGGUUCCACCCUUUUCUGGGAACGUGAGUAUCAACCAAGAAUGAAUCUCGCUGUGUUGUCCAGGCUGGAGUGCAGUGGCACCAUCUCGGCUCACUGCAACCUCUGGCUCCCAGGUUCAAGCGAUUCUCCUGCCUCAGCCCCCUGAGUAGCUGGGAUUACAGGCACGCGCCACCACUCCCAGUUUACACCCCGCCACUCCUGAGCACCGCACACCGGCUUCCUCCCAGUCCCUCAUCUGAGAACUCAUGAAGCCACUUGGAAUCCCUCUCUGCUUUGCCUGGCUCAUUCCAUGUCAAUUUCAGAUCUUCACUUCAGGUCAGCUCCAAGGAGGCUAUCCUUGCCCAUCUUCCUAAAAUAGAGCUCUCAAAACCUGGCUGUUUUCCUUCAGAGCACUGGCCUCCAAUUGCUCCGGUAGAUUGCAAAUGACCUGCUUUCUUUCUGUUCCCGGGCGUUUGGACCCCUGUCUUGGACCGCUGUCGGAUAGUAAAUCCCAAGUAAGGUACCUGCCGUCGGCAGAUUUGAGCUUUCUUCUUGGACACCUAAUACCCAGAGUCCUCCAGGCUCCGGUAGAUUGCAAAUGACCUGCUUUCUUUCUGUUCCCGGGCGGCAUCGGACCCGUCGGAGAGUAAAUCCCAAGUAAGGUACCUGCCGUUGGCAGAUUUGAGCUUUCUUCUUGGACACCUAAUACCCACAGUCCUCCAGGCUCCGGUAGAUUGCAAAUGACCUGCUUUCUUUCUGUUCCCGGGUGGCAUCGACCCGUCGGAGAGUAAAUCCCAAGUAAGGUACCUGCCGUUGGCAGAUUUGAGCUUUCUUCUUGGACACCUAAUACCCACAGUCCUCCAGUAAAUCCCAAGCAAGGUACCUGCCGUCAGCAGAUUUGAGCUUUCUUCUUGGACACCUAAUACCCACAGUCCUCCAGGCUCCGGUAGAUUGCAAAUGACCUGCUUUCUUUCUGUUCCCGGGCUGCGUUCGGACCCCUGUCGGAUAGUAACUCCCAAGCUCCGGUAGAUUGCAAAUGACCUGCUUUCUUUCUGUUCCCGGGCUGCGUUCGGACCCCUGUCGGAGAGUAAAUCCGAAAAAAACAAACAAAGACAUGGAUUUACUGUGCAUAUUAGCAGAUCCAUACUGGAAAAUGCAUGGAGGUUUCAUAUACACCACUUACAGUUUUCAGCUCCUCAGUAGUGACAAAGCCAUACCCAUCAUUGUCGAUUCGAUCAACAAUCUUCCCUAGCCUCUCCUUGCUCUCGUCCGGGGUGAGCUCGUCGAAGUUCUUGGAGUCCUCCUUGCCCAGGAAGGCCUCGUGGUCGUACUGGAAGCUCUGGUUGUCCUCAGGGGGCCGCUCGCCCAGCUCCGAGUCGGGCCGCACCACGCGCUCUUUGCGCACCGUGGGCUUGGCCCGCAGAACCCGCGGCGCCAGCACCAGCGCCAGCAGCAGCCCCAGGGCUAACCCCAGGCGGCCACCGCGCGCCAUCGUCCCGAGGAGAGGGCGGCCGGGAGGGAGACGCUGAGCGAGCGACAACAGCGGCAGCUCGGGAAUGGGGGCUCGGAGCGCGGCGGCCAAGUUUUAUGUUAUGUAUAUUUUACAAGUAAAAAAAUUUUUUCACCUCAGCCUGA